GCUGCCCGUUUGAUUCCACAUUUGCGCUUGGCCCUGCAGGGCGGCGGCACGUCUCGACCGCCGGAGAAGUAUCGGUCGGCGCCGUCGAGUUGGUUGCAUGCAUCUCGUAGCAGUAAGCCAUAUCAACAUGUAUCAUCUGCUUCCUGUGCUCAACUUCUUUCUUGAAGUGCAGGUUCAAGUUCAGACACUGAUAUCACGUGCUUCACAACUGAGAUUUGUGUUGAUCACUAUGACAAGCUCAUAAGGGUUCAGCCUAACGGUUUUUAGGAUGAGCACAUACAAACCAACAAUGUCAGUUAACUUCUCCUCAACCCAUUUUUACACUAUCAGGAGAGACCUUUAAUUUGAGGAGAUGGACACGAGUAAUUUUUGUUCAGAUACUAGGAGGGAGAAGGAUGAUUCAGAUAAAAGAAUUGGAAGGGAUUAUUAGAGUACCAUUGCAUGAUAGACAUCAGUGUGCUACAAGUAAUAAGAAGGCAUCUGGGAACAGCCAUAAUUCAUGGUGCAAAUGGUGUCCCAAAUAUUUGCUCAUGCUAUGCAAAUGGUGUCCCAAAUAUUUGCUCAUGCUAACAGUCUCUGAAGACUUAUAUAUUUCAAACUAAAUUACAGGGGCUCAGCAAAGAGCAACGAUGAUACCAAGUAUAACAUAUGGCGGGUUUUUCAUUGCUA
This is a long non-coding RNA of Panicum virgatum (switchgrass), 669 nucleotides long. RefSeq lists it as uncharacterized. The transcript has 3 exons. The record is from RefSeq and is a predicted model, not a curated record. Lineage: Eukaryota; Viridiplantae; Streptophyta; Magnoliopsida; Poales; Poaceae.